GGGGUCGACUGGUUUUGACAGCGAGAUUAAUUAAACGGUAAGCACGUCGUGUAAUGGCAUUGAAACACGUUAAAGGCUAGACCAAAUUUUAAACGGCGAGAAUAACUACGCUUUAGCUGCAUAAUCUGAAUUAUAGUAAGAUUGGCCUAGGUACACAAGGUGUACAAGCUUUAUGUCUCCGGAAAGCCUUGAUUGACGGCGUUCCAUUUUGAGGCAUCGUAAAUGUCAAUAUAGAUUAGGUAGUACUUUGAUGCCUUUUUGAAACUAAAGAAGUUAAGUUAUAAGUGGGUUGUCUUUAACCAGCUUAUAAUCGAAAACCCAAGAAAAGAAUAAACGUGUAGAAAGCCCUUUGGUUACUUGUUUGGACGAGAGUUCGAUUCUCUCCGACUCCAC
RNAcentral lists this transfer-messenger RNA (393 nucleotides) under Algibacter mikhailovii. It matches the Rfam family "transfer-messenger RNA". Rfam says of the family: Bacterial tmRNA, also known as 10Sa RNA or SsrA, is named for its dual tRNA and mRNA-like properties. Its role is to liberate the mRNA from a stalled ribosome. Lineage: Bacteria; Pseudomonadati; Bacteroidota; Flavobacteriia; Flavobacteriales; Flavobacteriaceae. The record is from RNAcentral.